Molecule: non-coding RNA, 278 nt
Organism: Pogona vitticeps (central bearded dragon)
Lineage: Eukaryota; Metazoa; Chordata; Lepidosauria; Squamata; Agamidae
Source: RefSeq, a predicted model, not a curated record
ACUCUUCGUGACCCCAUGAACGAGAGCACGCCAGGCCCGCCUGUCUUCCUCCUGUCUUGCCAAAUAGGAAUAGGCUCCUUGAAACAGAGGUGGGUAAAAGAUUCCAUUAAAGAAAAAGAAGAUCAAUGUUAACUUGAUUUGAUGGAUAAAACAGGAUGCCACAGGGAAAGAAAAGCAACACAAGUCUCAUAAGUACAUGCAUAUGGCUGCUUCCACCACAGCUGAGAAUGAGGCAGCUCAAGAAAAUGAUGUUCGAUUGCAUCCACACUCGUCUCCAA